Molecule: ribosomal RNA, 448 nt
Filed under: uncultured bacterium
Lineage: Bacteria
Description: bacterial SSU rRNA
Rfam family: Bacterial small subunit ribosomal RNA
Source: RNAcentral
GGCCAGACUCCUACGGGAGGCAGCAGUGGGGAAUAUUGGGCAAUGGGCGCAAGCCUGACCCAGCAACGCCGCGUGAAGGAAGAAGGCUUUCGGGUUGUAAACUUCUUUUAAGAGGGAAGAGUAGAAGACGGUACCUCUUGAAUAAGCCACGGCUAACUACGUGCCAGCAGCCGCGGUAAUACGGAGGGUGCAAGCGUUGUCCGGAAUCAUUGGGCGUAAAGAGUUCGUAGGUGGCAUAUUAAGUCUGGUGUUAAAUGCAGAAGCUCAACUUCUGUUCGGCACUGGAUACUGGUAAGCUUGAAUGCGGUAGAGGUAAAGGGAAUUCCUGGUGUAGCGGUGAAAUGCGUAGAUAUCAGGAGGAACAUCGGUGGCGUAAGCGCUUUACUGGGCCGUAAUUGACACUGAGGAACGAAAGCCGGGGUAGCAAAUGGGAUUAGAUACCCUGGUA